Molecule: long non-coding RNA, 541 nt
Organism: Sus scrofa (pig)
Lineage: Eukaryota; Metazoa; Chordata; Mammalia; Artiodactyla; Suidae
Source: RefSeq, a predicted model, not a curated record
AAUCGGUUUCUUUCAAAACUAACUUGAGGUGCUUGUAAACGGGAGAGCCAUCCUUUGCCUGGGUUUGCUGUGUCCCAUGGCCACCCAGGGUCCUCCCGCCUGGAGGCUGGGUCCUGCGGGGACGGGGAGAGAGCCCCACUGGCCACACUGGGGCUGCCUCUCACCGUGGCUGACUCCGCCUGGAUCCCUCAUCUGUCAGGUACGGUUCUAGGCCCUGGGAAUCCACUGAUGAAGGAGGCAGAUAAAGACCCCUGGAGGCAGGAAGCCCAGAUUCUGGAAACGAGGACGUGCAGGCCCGUGCGGCUCUAAAAAGAAAAGAAAACAAAACAAAACAAAGUGAGACUCAGUGAUUUCCGUGUAUGUUCACAGGGCUGUGCAGCCAUGACCACAGUGGAGAGAAUGUCAUUGUCACCCCCCAAAAAGAAGCACACGCUCCCUAGCAGUCUCUCUCUCUGCCCCCCACACCCCUGCCACUCAUCUAUUUUCCGUCUCUAUGGGUUGACCUGUUCUGGACAUUUCAUAGAAAAGGAAUUACGCAAUU